RNAcentral lists this antisense RNA (194 nucleotides) under Dickeya dadantii 3937. RNAcentral's name for it is "Yersinia sRNA 251". It matches the Rfam family "Yersinia sRNA 251". Rfam says of the family: Antisense to phoH gene. Trimmed on 5'end from the original size. Lineage: Bacteria; Pseudomonadati; Pseudomonadota; Gammaproteobacteria; Enterobacterales; Pectobacteriaceae. The record is from Rfam by way of RNAcentral.
AAUACGCCACCAGCGUACGUUGACACAGCUCUGAGCGAACACAGUCCUCUUUGCCAAAGGUGACAAUGCCUACCAUGCCAUCUUCCGUAAAUCGCUCCAGCGCGUCGCGCAGACCCGAUUUCACGCCGGCUGGCAAGUCACACUGCGUAAUAUCGCCAUUGACGAUCACCGUAACAUUCUCGCCCAGACGCGUC